This is a long non-coding RNA of Cimex lectularius (bed bug), 341 nucleotides long. RefSeq lists it as uncharacterized. NCBI's taxonomy places the organism in Eukaryota, Metazoa, Arthropoda, Insecta, Hemiptera, Cimicidae. The record is from RefSeq and is a predicted model, not a curated record. The transcript has 2 exons.
GUGACGUCGCUUUCUCAUAUAUAAACCCGGCCCGGCGCCGAUUUAAUCAAACGAUUUCCAGUGAUCGAUCAGUGCAGUCGCUACAGUUCCAACAACUCACCUAAAACCUCGAGAUGUUGAUCGGAUCAUGCAGCCGUUACGUCACCGGAGGAAGAGCUCUCCAGACGGUUUACUGGAGGGCGAAGCCUUCGACAGGCGAAGAGUCGGCCAAGAUCAUCAAAACGAGCAAAACGCUGCAUUGGGGCCGAGAAAUCGCCAAAAGGCCUUACAUCAGCGAAGCGAUCAAAAACGGUCCGAGGUUCAUGUGAAUAUCAAGAAAAAUCCAAUGUACUUAUUGUAAA